GGGAAAGUAGCUCAGUUGGUUAGAGCGUUGGUGUGUCUGUCAUACCAAAAGUCGCAUGUUCGAACUCUGUUUUCUCUG
This 78-nucleotide transfer RNA is filed under the name Zea mays. It matches the Rfam family "tRNA". Rfam says of the family: Transfer RNA (tRNA) molecules are approximately 80 nucleotides in length. Lineage: Eukaryota; Viridiplantae; Streptophyta; Magnoliopsida; Poales; Poaceae. The record is from Rfam by way of RNAcentral.